AGAGUUUGAUCAUGGCUCAGGAUGAACGCUAGCGACAGGCCUAACACAUGCAAGUCGAGGGGCAGCGGGGUGCUUGCACCGCCGGCGACCGGCGCACGGGUGAGUAACGCGUAUGCGACCUGCCCGCCACCGCGGGAUAGCCUCCCGAAAGGGAGAUUAACACCGCAUGGUCCGGACCGUAUAAUGGUGGUCCGGCAAACGCGAGGGUGGCGGAUGGGCAUGCGUCCCAUUAGGCAGCAGGCGGGGUAACGGCCCACCUGGCCGACGAUGGGUAGGGGUCCUGAGAGGGAGGUCCCCCACACUGGUACUGAGACACGGACCAGACUCCUACGGGAGGCAGCAGUGAGGAAUAUUGGUCAAUGGGCGGAAGCCUGAACCAGCCAUGUCGCGUGCAGGACUACGGCCCUACGGGUCUUAAACUGCUUUUGAUUGGGGAUAAAGUGGGGGACGCGUCCCCUAUUGCAGGUACCAAUCGAAUAAGGAUCGGCUAACUCCGUGCCAGCAGCCGCGGUAAUACGGAGGAUCCGAGCGUUAUCCGGAUUUAUUGGGUUUAAAGGGUGCGUAGGCGGGCUGUUAAGUCAGCGGUGAAACCCCCGGGCUCAACCCGGGGACUGCCAUUGAAACUGGCGGCCUAGAGUACGUUGGGAGUGCGCGGAAUGUGUGGUGUAGCGGUGAAAUGCAUAGAUAUCACACAGAACACCGAUCGCGAAGGCAGCGCACUACGCCGCAACUGACGCUGAGGCACGAAGGCGCGGGGAUCGAACAGGAUUAGAUACCCUGGUAGUCCGCGCAGUAAACGAUGGAUGCUCGCCGUCCGCGAUACAAUGCGGGUGGCCAAGCGAAAGCGAUAAGCAUCCCACCUGGGGAGUACGCCGGCUACGGUGAAA
RNAcentral lists this ribosomal RNA (887 nucleotides) under uncultured Bacteroidota bacterium. RNAcentral's name for it is "bacterial SSU rRNA". It matches the Rfam family "Bacterial small subunit ribosomal RNA", at positions 8 to 899 of the family's 1533-position model. Lineage: Bacteria; Pseudomonadati; Bacteroidota. The record is from RNAcentral.